AUGGGAACGCGAAGAACCUUACCUAGACUUGACAUCUCCUGAAUAGUGUAGAGAUACAUGAAGCCCUUCGGGGCAGGAAGACAGGUGGUGCAUGGUUGUCGUCAGCUCGUGUCGUGAGAUGUUGGGUUAAGUCCCGCAACGAGCGCAACCCUUAUUACUAGUUGCUACCAUUAAGUUGAGCACUCUAGUGAGACUGCCCGGGUUAACCGGGAGGAAGGCGGGGAUGACGUCAAAUCAUCAUGCCCCUUAUGUCUAGGGCAACACACGUGCUACAAUGGUGAGUACAGAUAGAUGCGAUACCGCAAGGUGGAGCCAAACUCUAAAACUCAUCCCAGUUCGGAUUGUAGGCUGCAACUCGCCUACAUGAAGUUGGAGUUGCUAGUAAUCGCGAAUCAGAAUGUCGCGGUGAAUACGUU
This 416-nucleotide ribosomal RNA is filed under the name uncultured bacterium. RNAcentral's name for it is "bacterial SSU rRNA". It matches the Rfam family "Bacterial small subunit ribosomal RNA", at positions 954 to 1372 of the family's 1533-position model. The record is from RNAcentral.